Molecule: ribosomal RNA, 81 nt
Filed under: Acinetobacter baumannii ABNIH6
Lineage: Bacteria; Pseudomonadati; Pseudomonadota; Gammaproteobacteria; Moraxellales; Moraxellaceae
Description: partial 16S ribosomal RNA
Rfam family: Bacterial small subunit ribosomal RNA
Source: RNAcentral
AACUGAAGAGUUUGAUCAUGGCUCAGAUUGAACGCUGGCGGCAGGCUUAACACAUGCAAGUCGAGCGGGGAAGGUAGCUUG